UGGCUAUGCUGCCUUUCCCUGAUCUAACGGAGCAGUUGUGACUGCAGCAACCAGCAGAUACAGUCAUGACCUUGUCUGUGAGAUGCAGGCAUUUGUUCUCUUUGAAACUUGGGCCAAAACAUCUUCCGGUUUGCAAUGGGUUGAUCUGAUUCUCUGGAUGGAAGAAGACAGACAAAUUACCUGACAGGGUGGAGACAAUACAGAAAGAUAAUUGAUAGGAACUUAAUUUCAACGUUCAUAGGUCAAAGUAAAUUUAUAAUCAAAAUCAGCAUAUACAACCCUGAGAUUAACUUUCUUGCAGCAUUCUCAGUAACUCUAAUAAUCAUAAUAGACUCAGAGGAAGACUGCAUGAACAGGGCAGAUGCCCAGUGUGCAAAAGAUAACAAACUGUACAAAAAAUACAAAUAGAAAGAAAAAAAGGAAAUAAAAAUAAUAAUA
Mobula hypostoma (lesser devil ray) is the source of this 438-nucleotide long non-coding RNA. RefSeq lists it as uncharacterized. The transcript has 3 exons. Lineage: Eukaryota; Metazoa; Chordata; Chondrichthyes; Myliobatiformes; Myliobatidae. The record is from RefSeq and is a predicted model, not a curated record.